This 567-nucleotide ribosomal RNA is filed under the name uncultured archaeon. RNAcentral's name for it is "partial 16S ribosomal RNA". The record is from RNAcentral.
GUUGAACCAAUUGAACCGCAGGUCCACCCCUUGUGGUGCUCCCCCGCCAAUUUCUUUAAGUUUCAGCCUUGCGACCGUACUUCCCAGGCGGCGGGCUUAACGACUUCUCUCCGGCACCUGGUGCUCUCGAGGAACACCAGACACCUGGCCCGCAUACUUUACAGCUAGGACUACCGGGGUAUCUAAUCCCGUUCGCUCCCCUAGCCUUCGCCCCUCACCGUCAGGCCCGUUCUCGCCGAGCGCCUUCGCCACUGGUGGUCCCCCGAGGAUUAGAGCAUUUCACCGCUACCCUCAGAGUACCCUCGGCGUCUCCCGGCCUCAAGACUGACAGUAUCCCUUGCAAGCCGAACGGUUAAGCCGCCCGAUUUCACAAGGGACUUGCCAACCCGGCUACGAGCGCUUUAGGCCCAAUAAUCGCGACCACCACUUGGGCUGCGGGUAUUACCGCGGCGGCUGGCACCGACUUACCCAGCCUUAUUCCGGGAGCUCCUUGCACUCCCGAAAAGCCGUCGAACAAAAGUCCAACGGCACUUGGGGUUCCCCGUCACGCUUUCGCGCAUUGCGGAG